AUUGAACGCUGGCGGCAGGCCUAACACAUGCAAGUCGCGCGAGCGGCGGACGGGUGAGUACUGUAUGGGGACUGCCCGAUAGAGGGGGCUAACUACUGGAAACGGUGGCUAAUACCGCAUACUAUCGGAUAACCCAUAUGGGAUUAGCUCGUAGGUGGGGUAAAGGCUCACCUAGGCGACGAUCUCUAGCUGGUCUGAGAGGAUGAUCAGCCACACGGUGACUGAGACACGGCCCAGACUCCACCGGAGUCAGAAGUGGGGAAUAUUGGACAAUGGGCGCAAGCCGGAUGCAGCCAUGCCGCGUGUAUGACGAAGGCCUGAGGGUUGUAGAAUACUGUCAGCGGGGAGGCGUUACCCGCAGAAGAAGCACCGGCUAACUCCGUGCCAGCAGCCGCGGUAAUAC
Molecule: ribosomal RNA, 403 nt
Filed under: uncultured bacterium
Lineage: Bacteria
Description: partial 16S ribosomal RNA
Rfam family: Bacterial small subunit ribosomal RNA
Source: RNAcentral